AUAUUACAUAAAUAUUUUUUGUAUGUGUAUUCUAAAUUUUAAAAAACCAGUUUGAGUGUGCAAAGAUGGUAAUAAUUUAAUACAUUUAAUUUCCAAGACAUUUAACUAGAUUCUCAAUCACCUCUUUCAAAAGCAUGUUUUUUUUCCAUAGGAAAAAGAAGUCAAAGUAAGCUCUCAAAAUUAUCCUCAAAGUAAGGGGUGAGCUUGUGAUGAAGGUUGGAGUUGUAGACAGCAGUGUGCAGAACGGAGGCUGACAUGGGUGUUGGGCAUUUCAAGCCUCUUUGUUGAAUUAGUCCUUUUUGUCUUCUUGCUUGUUGAAAGCAUGCUUUUUGCUGUUGAUUUAACAAAGGCAGAUUGUGUGUUAAGAUUAUAUAUAGAUGUAUUCUUUAUGUUGGAUAUUGUACUAGAGUCCUCCUCACAGGAAAUAGUUCUAGAACUCUUAGCAUUAGCAUUCCUAGAUUGGUGUCUGUAGCUACCAGUUU
This 482-nucleotide long non-coding RNA is filed under the name Bos taurus (domestic cattle). RNAcentral describes it as "long non-coding RNA NONBTAT001127". The record is from RNAcentral. Lineage: Eukaryota; Metazoa; Chordata; Mammalia; Artiodactyla; Bovidae.